CAAUGGGCGAGAGCCUGAACCAGCCAAGUCGCGUGAAGGAAGACUGUCUUAUGGAUUGUAAACUUCUUUUAUAGGGGAAUAAAUGUUGGUACGCGUACCAAUUUGAAUGUACCCUAUGAAUAAGCAUCGGCUAACUCCGUGCCAGCAGCCGCGG
RNAcentral lists this ribosomal RNA (154 nucleotides) under uncultured Bacteroidota bacterium. RNAcentral describes it as "uncultured Bacteroidetes bacterium partial 16S ribosomal RNA". It matches the Rfam family "Bacterial small subunit ribosomal RNA", at positions 369 to 520 of the family's 1533-position model. Lineage: Bacteria; Pseudomonadati; Bacteroidota. The record is from RNAcentral.